AACGCGAAGAACCUUACCUGGUCUUGACAUCCACGGAAGUUUUCAGAGAUGAGAAUGUGCCUUCGGGAACCGUGAGACAGGUGCUGCAUGGCUGUCGUCAGCUCGUGUUGUGAAAUGUUGGGUUAAGUCCCGCAACGAGCGCAACCCUUAUCCUUUGUUGCCAGCGGUCCGGCCGGGAACUCAAAGGAGACUGCCAGUGAUAAACUGGAGGAAGGUGGGGAUGACGUCAAGUCGUCAUGGCCCUUACGACCAGGGCUACACACGUGCUACAAUGGCGCAUACAAAGAGAAGCGACCUCGCGAGAGCAAGCGGACCUCAUAAAGUGCGUCGUAGUCCGGAUUGGAGUCUGCAACUCGACUCCAUGAAGUCGGAAUCGCUAGUAAUCGUGGAUCAGAAUGCCACGGUGAAUACGUUCCCGGGUCUUGUACACACGC
RNAcentral lists this ribosomal RNA (434 nucleotides) under uncultured Escherichia sp. RNAcentral describes it as "bacterial SSU rRNA". It matches the Rfam family "Bacterial small subunit ribosomal RNA", at positions 958 to 1393 of the family's 1533-position model. The record is from RNAcentral. Lineage: Bacteria; Pseudomonadati; Pseudomonadota; Gammaproteobacteria; Enterobacterales; Enterobacteriaceae.